GAUGAAGAACGUAGCGAAAUGCGAUAAGUAAUGCGAAUUGCAGAAUCCGUGAGUCAUCGAAUCUUUGAACGCACAUUGCGCCCCUUGGUUAUUCCGAAGGGCAUGCCUGUUCGAGCGUCAUUAUCACCCCUCAAGCCCCGGCUUGGUGUUGGGCCCUGCCCGCUGCGGCCGGCCCUAAAGACAGUGGCGGUGCCGCCUGGCCCUGAGCGUAGUACAUCUCUCGCUCCAGUGCCCGGUGGUAGCCUGCCAGAACCCCAACUCUCGUGGUUGACCUCGGAUCAGGUAGGGAUACCCGCUGAACUUAAGCAUAUCAGCGGAGGA
RNAcentral lists this unclassified non-coding RNA (321 nucleotides) under soil metagenome. Its description in RNAcentral is "partial contains 5.8S ribosomal RNA, internal transcribed spacer 2, and large subunit ribosomal RNA". The stretch from base 1 to 120 matches the Rfam family "5.8S ribosomal RNA", at positions 35 to 154 of the family's 154-position model. The record is from RNAcentral.